This is a non-coding RNA of Pseudonaja textilis, 164 nucleotides long. NCBI's taxonomy places the organism in Eukaryota, Metazoa, Chordata, Lepidosauria, Squamata, Elapidae. The record is from RefSeq and is a predicted model, not a curated record.
GGGGUAGGGGUCGCAGCAGAGACGUCAGGGCUGCUCUCCCCUCUCAGCAAGCCAGGCCUGGAGGAAUGCGAAGAAUUGUGGGUGAGCGCCGGAGAAAGGCAUGUUGGAAAAGCCAACACACGUUUCCAGCGCGCUCUCCUCUGUCCCGAAGAUCUUCAGUACCG